GGAUCUGGUACCGCAGUGCCCCAAGAUAUCUGGUAGAUCCCUUCAUCUCAGUCAGCAAAGUCUCUCACCAGCUUUGCUCCAUCCCAUAUCACACUGCCGAUGGCUUCUCUCUGAGCCUGGCAGCAAUCUCUCUAUCCAUCUAGUUCCCAAGGCAGGUUGCCACCAUGCCAGACAUACACACCCCAAUUCUGUGGUAGCCUAGUGUCUCCAGCCACCACAUACUCUCUUGAACUUAAUUCCUCACAUGAGAGAACACACAACACAAUGACCUCUGAUCCAACUGAUAAGAUAUAAUUGCCCACCUAGACAUACAAAGCCCUGUACACAUCCG
RNAcentral lists this long non-coding RNA (331 nucleotides) under Rattus norvegicus (Norway rat). RNAcentral describes it as "long non-coding RNA NONRATT008548". Lineage: Eukaryota; Metazoa; Chordata; Mammalia; Rodentia; Muridae. The record is from RNAcentral.